GUUUUUUUUUUUAUUAUUUAUUUUAUUUUUUAAAUAAAAUUGUUUACAGAUUUUUAGCAAAUCUGUUCCCUCAAUUUUUUUUUUUUUUUUUUUUAAUUUACAGAUUUUUAGCAAAUCUGUUCCCUCAGGGUUUUUUUUUUUUUUUUUUUUUUUUAGCAAAUCCGUUCCCUCCGUUUUUAUAAAUCCGUUCCCUCCGUUUUUAUAAAUCUGUUCCCUCCGUUUUUAUAAAUCCGUUCCCUCAGUGUUUAUAAAUCCGUUCCCUCAGUGUUUAUAAAUCUGUUCCCUCCGUUUUUAUAAAUCCGUUCCCUCAGUUUUUAUAAAUCUGUUCCCUCCUGUUUUAUAAAUCUGUUCCCUCCGUUUUUAUAAAUCUGUUCCUCCGUUUUUAUAAAUCCGUUCCCUCAGUUUUUAUAAAUCUGUUCCCUCCGUUUUUAUAAAUCUGUUCCCUCCG
Molecule: long non-coding RNA, 448 nt
Organism: Ictalurus punctatus (channel catfish)
Lineage: Eukaryota; Metazoa; Chordata; Actinopteri; Siluriformes; Ictaluridae
Source: Ensembl